Acanthosepion pharaonis is the source of this 85-nucleotide non-coding RNA. Lineage: Eukaryota; Metazoa; Mollusca; Cephalopoda; Sepiida; Sepiidae. The record is from the annotation of a GenBank genome assembly.
ACUGGUAUGAUCACUGAUGUUAAGCAACGUUGAGUAUGGUCAGUACUUAGAUGGGUGACCACUUGGGAAUAUCAGGUACUGCAAG